Molecule: long non-coding RNA, 601 nt
Filed under: Nicotiana tabacum (common tobacco)
Lineage: Eukaryota; Viridiplantae; Streptophyta; Magnoliopsida; Solanales; Solanaceae
Description: long non-coding RNA (NTAB_LNC008960)
Source: RNAcentral
AUAAUCCAAAAAUUUCAAUUCAUAUCCUAAAGGUUCAAUUCGUAUCCUAAAGGUUCAACUCAUAUCCACAAAAGUUCAAGUCAUAUCCUAAAAUUUUAAUUUAUAAACUAAAAUUCCAAUACAUAAACUAAUAUCCUAAAGGUUCAAUUCAUAUCCUAAAGGUUCAAGUCAUAUCCACAAAAGUUCAAGUCAUAUCCUAAAAUUUCAAUUUAUAAACUAAAAUUUCGAUAUAUAAACUAAAAGUCCAACUCAUAUCCUAAAGGUUCAACUCAUAUCCACAAAAGUUCAAUUCAUAUUCUAAAAUUUCAAUUUAUAAACUAAAAUUCCAAUACAUAAUCCUAAAGGUGCAACUCUUAGGGUUUCUUCUCUUCAAACAAUUUCUUCCCCAAAUUAGUAGGUAAAACUAAAUAUUUUGGACUAAAUGUAUUAAUAAGAACCCUAAAAAUUGCAAAAAAUAUAUAACUUUGAACCUUAACAUGGUUGAGCUAACUUUGAACCCUAAUAUGGAGAAAUUAAACCCUAACAUGGAGAAAUUAACUUCGAACCCUAACAUGGUUGAACAAAUAAUAUAUAACUUUGAACCCUAACAUGGAGAAAUUAA